RNAcentral lists this ribosomal RNA (460 nucleotides) under uncultured bacterium. RNAcentral describes it as "partial 16S ribosomal RNA". It matches the Rfam family "Bacterial small subunit ribosomal RNA", at positions 338 to 795 of the family's 1533-position model. The record is from RNAcentral.
CCUACGGGGGGCAGCAGUGAGGAAUAUUGGUCAAUGGACGAGAGUCUGAACCAGCCAAGUAGCGUGAAGGAUGACUGCCCUCUGGGUUGUAAACUUCUUUUAUAUGGGAAUAAAACGUUCCACGUGUGGGAUUUUGUAUGUACCAUAUGAAUAAGGAUCGGCUAACUCCGUGCCAGCAGCCGCGGUAAUACGGAGGAUCCGAGCGUUAUCCGGAUUUAUUGGGUUUAAAGGGAGCGUAGGUGGAUUGUUAAGUCAGUUGUGAAAGUUUGCGGCUCAACCGUAAAAUUGCAGUUGAAACUGGCAGUCUUGAGUACAGUAGAGGGGGGCAGAAUUCGUGGUGUAGCGGUGAAAUGCGUAGAUAUCACGAAGAACACCGAUUGCGAAGGCAGUUCACUGGACUACAACUGACACUGAGGCUCGAAAGUGUGGGUAUCAAACAGGAUUAGAUACCCGGGUAGUC